This is a long non-coding RNA of Xenia sp. Carnegie-2017, 100 nucleotides long. RefSeq lists it as uncharacterized. The transcript has 3 exons. NCBI's taxonomy places the organism in Eukaryota, Metazoa, Cnidaria, Anthozoa, Malacalcyonacea, Xeniidae. The record is from RefSeq and is a predicted model, not a curated record.
UUAUUUUCAAUUAUUCAUAAAAUAGACCUAUUGCAUGUGACGUCACAAUCCUGGUGACGUUACAUCUGGAGGACAAGCAAACGCCACAUGUAAAUAACAA